GACAAGGUGACGGCGAUAAGACGUGAGCUUUAGUAAUUAGUUUAUUGUUGUUGACAGACAUAUGUACAGUGAGACAAAACGAUGACCGCACUGAUGGCAAAUCCUUCAGAGAUGAUUGUUUAUAUCUGCGUCCUUUUUGUACAACAGAGUACAGAAUACAUCCUGUCUCCAACUAAUGCAGAGUAUAUUCAAACUGCCAACACACUGGUUGUGAAGAACCCUUUCCAGAGAAAUAUAGAAAGAAAUGACUGUGUAAGUUAAAUUGUUUUUAAACCAUUGAUUUAUCUCUAUCAGCAUAAUCACACACAAUAUUGUAGUAACAAGAUGUUGUAAUCUUUAUUUGCUGGAAAAUGACAAUCAGUCAAGUUUGUGUUUUAAGCACAUCUGACACAUCUCUAAACCUGAAAUGUAAAGCAGAACGUGCU
Molecule: long non-coding RNA, 425 nt
Organism: Carassius carassius (crucian carp)
Lineage: Eukaryota; Metazoa; Chordata; Actinopteri; Cypriniformes; Cyprinidae
Exons: 3
Source: RefSeq, a predicted model, not a curated record